Molecule: transfer RNA, 74 nt
Filed under: Coemansia sp. RSA 1933
Lineage: Eukaryota; Fungi; Kickxellomycota; Kickxellomycetes; Kickxellales; Kickxellaceae
Description: tRNA-Arg
Rfam family: tRNA
About the family: Transfer RNA (tRNA) molecules are approximately 80 nucleotides in length. Their secondary structure includes four short double-helical elements and three loops (D, anti-codon, and T loops).
Source: RNAcentral
ACUCGUUUAGCUUAAUUGGAUAAAGCAUCGAUCUUCUAAAUCGUUUAUUGUAGGUUCAAUUCCUCCAACGAGUA